CAUGUUUGCGUGUUCAUGCAGAGUCGGGGAGAAGGUGGUUAGCAUCAGCAUCGCCCACCUGGAGCCCUCACCCCCCAAGACAACAAGGUGAAGGUGAUCCUGGCGAGGACCGCCGAGGGGCGACGGGUCACCUCUGUCUAGCAUCGACGGGGACGACGGCAUCGUCCGCAUGGAGCUGGACGACCAGCUGAAGAUCCUCAACUAGGUUCCCUGUUAACGCCUGACCACUGAUACCAUACAGAGACACACACAGAGACACACACAUAGAAUACCACACAUAACCACACACACCCGACGGACAGACCCACCCCCCCCCACCAACGACAGACACACCACUACACAUAGAAUCACCACACCAGACAGACGAAACAGA
Etheostoma spectabile (orangethroat darter) is the source of this 373-nucleotide long non-coding RNA. RefSeq lists it as uncharacterized. Lineage: Eukaryota; Metazoa; Chordata; Actinopteri; Perciformes; Percidae. The record is from RefSeq and is a predicted model, not a curated record. The transcript is spliced from 2 exons.